Molecule: ribosomal RNA, 456 nt
Filed under: uncultured bacterium
Lineage: Bacteria
Description: bacterial SSU rRNA
Rfam family: Bacterial small subunit ribosomal RNA
Source: RNAcentral
UACGGAAGGCAGCAGUGGGGAAUAUUGCACAAUGGGCGCAAGCCUGAUGCAGCCAUGCCGCGUGCAUGAAGAAGGCCUUCGGGUUGUAAAGUACUUUCAGCGGGGAGGAAGGCGGUGAAGUUAAUAGCUUCACCGAUUGACGUUACCCGCAGAAGAAGCACCGGCUAACUCCGUGCCAGCAGCCGCGGUAAUACGGAGGGUGCAAGCGUUAAUCGGAAUUACUGGGCGUAAAAGCGCACGCAGGCGGUCUGUCAAGUCGGAUGUGAAAUCCCCGGGCUUAACCUGGGAACUGCAUUCGAAACUGGCAGGCUAGAGUCUUGUAGAGGGGGUAGAAUUCCAGGUGUAGCGGUGAAAUGCGUAGAGAUCUGGAGGAAUACCGGUGGCGAAGGCGGCCCCUGGACAAAGACUGACGCUCAGGUGCGAAAGCGUGGGGAGCAAACGAGGAUUAGGAUAACC